Long non-coding RNA from Orbicella faveolata, 129 nucleotides. The record is from RefSeq and is a predicted model, not a curated record. NCBI's taxonomy places the organism in Eukaryota, Metazoa, Cnidaria, Anthozoa, Scleractinia, Merulinidae.
AAGACUCGUUCAUCACUUCAGCGUCUUGAGGAAGAAAAUGCUCAUCUACAGCUAGAACUUCAAGCUAGAGAUGAUCUCAUCAGGGCAGCAGAAGAUGACCAAAGACAGCAUGCAGAAGACAUGUCUAAA